GGUGAACGCUGGCGGCGUGCCUAACACAUGCAAGUCGAUCGGAGCAGCAAUGCUUAGAGGCGAACGGGUGAGGAAAACGUAGUAACCAACCCUUUAGACUGGGAUAGCCACUGGAAACGGUGGGUAAUACCGGAUAAGCUCGAGAGAGGAAGGCAGAGAGCGCUAAGGACGACCUGCGCCCAUCAGAUAGUUGGUGAGGUAAAGGCUUACCAAGUCAAAGACGGGAAACCGACGUGAGAGCGUGUACGGUCACAAGGGCACUGAGAGACGGGCCCUACUCCUACGGGAGGCAGCAGGUGGGGAAUAUUGGACAAUGGACGAAAGUCUGAUCCAGCGACGCCGCGUGGAGGAAGAAGUCCUUCGGGAUGUAAACUCAUGAAGCUAACGAAUAAGACGGAAGGGGAACCUUCCGGGAGAAGGUAAUUAGUGAAAAGCCCCGGCUAACUACGUG
This 451-nucleotide ribosomal RNA is filed under the name uncultured bacterium. RNAcentral's name for it is "bacterial SSU rRNA". It matches the Rfam family "Bacterial small subunit ribosomal RNA", at positions 28 to 507 of the family's 1533-position model. The record is from RNAcentral.